UUAAGCGACUAAGCGUACACGGUGGAUGCCCUGGCAGUCAGAGGCGAUGAAGGACGUGCUAAUCUGCGAAAAGCGUCGGUAAGGUGAUAUGAACCGUUAUAACCGGCGAUGUCCGAAUGGGGAAACCCAGUGCAAUUCGUUGCACUAUCGUUAACUGAAUACAUAGGUUAACGAGGCGAACCGGGGGAACUGAAACAUCUAAGUACCCCGAGGAAAAGAAAUCAACCGAGAUUCCCCCAGUAGCGGCGAGCGAACGGGGAGCAGCCCAGAGUCUGAAUCAGCUUGUGUGUUAGUGGAACGGUCUGGAAAGUCCGACGGUACAGGGUGAUAGUCCCGUACACCAAAAUGCACAGGUUGUGAACUCGAAGAGUAGGGCGGGACACGUGGUAUCCUGUCUGAAUAUGGGGGGACCAUCCUCCAAGGCUAAAUACUCCUGACUGACCGAUAGUGAACCAGUACCGUGAGGGAAAGGCGAAAAGAACCCCGGCGAGGGGAGUGAAAAAGAACCUGAAACCGUGUACGUACAAGCAGUGGGAGCACCUUCGGGUGUGACUGCGUACCUUUUGUAUAAUGGGUCAGCGACUUAUAUUCUGUAGCAAGGUUAACCGUAUAGGGGAGCCGCAGGGAAACCGAGUCUUAACUGGGCGUUAAGUUGCAGGGUAUAGACCCGAAACCCGGUGAUCUAGCCAUGGGCAGGUUGAAGGUUGGGUAACACUAACUGGAGGACCGAACCGACUAAUGUUGAAAAAUUAGCGGAUGACUUGUGGCUGGGGGUGAAAGGCCAAUCAAACCGGGAGAUAGCUGGUUCUCCCCGAAAGCUAUUUAGGUAGCGCCUCGUGAAUUCAUCUUCGGGGGUAGAGCACUGUUUCGGCUAGGGGGUCAUCCCGACUUACCAACCCGAUGCAAACUACGAAUACCGAAGAAUGUUAUCACGGGAGACACACGGCGGGUGCUAACGUCCGUCGUGAAGAGGGAAACAACCCAGACCGCCAGCUAAGGUCCCAAAGUCAUGGUUAAGUGGGAAACGAUGUGGGAAGGCACAGACAGCCAGGAUGUUGGCUUAGAAGCAGCCAUCAUUUAAAGAAAGCGUAAUAGCUCACUGGUCGAGUCGGCCUGCGCGGAAGAUGUAACGGGGCUAAACCAUGCACCGAAGCUGCGGCAGCGACACUAUGUGUUGUUGGGUAGGGGAGCGUUCUGUAAGCCUGCGAAGGUGUGCUGUGAGGCAUGCUGGAGGUAUCAGAAGUGCGAAUGCUGACAUAAGUAACGAUAAAGCGGGUGAAAAGCCCGCUCGCCGGAAGACCAAGGGUUCCUGUCCAACGUUAAUCGGGGCAGGGUGAGUCGACCCCUAAGGCGAGGCCGAAAGGCGUAGUCGAUGGGAAACAGGUUAAUAUUCCUGUACUUGGUGUUACUGCGAAGGGGGGACGGAGAAGGCUAUGUUAGCCGGGCGACGGUUGUCCCGGUUUAAGCAUGUAGGCUGGUUGUCCAGGCAAAUCCGGAUAAUCAAGGCUGAGGUGUGAUGACGAGGCACUACGGUGCUGAAGUAACAAAUGCCCUGCUUCCAGGAAAAGCCUCUAAGCAUCAGGUAACAUUAAAUCGUACCCCAAACCGACACAGGUGGUCAGGUAGAGAAUACCAAGGCGCUUGAGAGAACUCGGGUGAAGGAACUAGGCAAAAUGGUGCCGUAACUUCGGGAGAAGGCACGCUGGUGUGUAGGUGAAGUCCCUGCGGAUGGAGCUGAGACCAGUCGAAGAUACCAGCUGGCUGCAACUGUUUAUUAAAAACACAGCACUGUGCAAACACGAAAGUGGACGUAUACGGUGUGACGCCUGCCCGGUGCCGGAAGGUUAAUUGAUGGGGUUAUCCGUAAGGAGAAGCUCUUGAUCGAAGCCCCGGUAAACGGCGGCCGUAACUAUAACGGUCCUAAGGUAGCGAAAUUCCUUGUCGGGUAAGUUCCGACCUGCACGAAUGGCGUAAUGAUGGCCAGGCUGUCUCCACCCGAGACUCAGUGAAAUUGAACUCGCUGUGAAGAUGCAGUGUACCCGCGGCAAGACGGAAAGACCCCGUGAACCUUUACUAUAGCUUGACACUGAACAUUGAGCCUUGAUGUGUAGGAUAGGUGGGAGGCUUUGAAGCGUGGACGCCAGUCUGCGUGGAGCCAACCUUGAAAUACCACCCUUUAAUGUUUGAUGUUCUAACGUUGGCCCCUGACCGGGGUUGCGGACAGUGUCUGGUGGGUAGUUUGACUGGGGCGGUCUCCUCCCAAAGCGUAACGGAGGAGCACGAAGGUUAGCUAAUCCUGGUCGGACAUCAGGAGGUUAGUGCAAUGGCAUAAGCUAGCUUGACUGCGAGCGUGACGGCGCGAGCAGGUGCGAAAGCAGGUCAUAGUGAUCCGGUGGUUCUGAAUGGAAGGGCCAUCGCUCAACGGAUAAAAGGUACUCCGGGGAUAACAGGCUGAUACCGCCCAAGAGUUCAUAUCGACGGCGGUGUUUGGCACCUCGAUGUCGGCUCAUCACAUCCUGGGGCUGAAGUAGGUCCCAAGGGUAUGGCUGUUCGCCAUUUAAAGUGGUACGCGAGCUGGGUUUAGAACGUCGUGAGACAGUUCGGUCCCUAUCUGCCGUGGGCGCUGGAGAAUUGAGGGGGGCUGCUCCUAGUACGAGAGGACCGGAGUGGACGCAUCACUGGUGUUCGGGUUGUCAUGCCAAUGGCACUGCCCGGUAGCUAAAUGCGGAAGAGAUAAGUGCUGAAAGCAUCUAAGCACGAAACUUGCCCCGAGAUGAGUUCUCCCUGAGACUUUAAGUCUCCUGAAGGAACGUUGAAGACGACGACGUUGAUAGGCCGGGUGUGUAAGCGCAGCGAUGCGUUGAGCUAACCGGUACUAAUGAACCGUGAGGCUUAACCUU
This 2900-nucleotide ribosomal RNA is filed under the name Klebsiella pneumoniae. RNAcentral's name for it is "bacterial LSU rRNA". It matches the Rfam family "Bacterial large subunit ribosomal RNA". Lineage: Bacteria; Pseudomonadati; Pseudomonadota; Gammaproteobacteria; Enterobacterales; Enterobacteriaceae. The record is from RNAcentral.